Long non-coding RNA from Mastomys coucha (southern multimammate mouse), 411 nucleotides. RefSeq lists it as uncharacterized. Lineage: Eukaryota; Metazoa; Chordata; Mammalia; Rodentia; Muridae. The record is from RefSeq and is a predicted model, not a curated record. The transcript is spliced from 2 exons.
GGCCUGGCAUAUGGGGACAGAAAGGAGCCCAUGGGAAUCAACCUCCCGCUGCGGGGUUCCCCCCUCCCCUCUGCCAUAUUGUCUUGUCCCUAGAACGAGGUGGUUCCUGGGCCUGGCUACUGUUAUGUCAGGAAGAGAAAAGGGGGUUGCUUGUGUGAGGACUGUGCACCCCGGGGUCAGCAGGGAUCAGGGUCGCGGGUGCCUUUUCGAGAGUCCAGGACCAUACCCUCCAGGUGUUUCCACCACCGCACGGGCUAGGAGCCGUUAGCCGAGUAUUGGAGGGGAAGGCGGAACUAUCGCCCCCUGGUGGGCGUGUUUAGAACUGCUCGUGCUUGUACCGCUCUACGUGGGCUCAACGGUAGCUAAACUUAAGGCAGAAUAGGAGGGAAUAAAUCACAAGUUUUGAGUGCA